UUUUUUUUUUUUUUUUUUUGAAAUCGCUAUGUACUAAAUGGUUCCUGCAAGCAGCUAUUGCCGAUUGCCACUUUGCUCUGCACCUGGGAGCUGCAUUUGACUGUUUAAGUGGUUCUGUCCCGGAGCUGCUGAAAUGCCCAGUGGAACCACAAGCACUCCUUCAGACUUCCUGUUUCCCAAGAGCAGGCAACAGGGGUGUCGAUUACAGCUCGUGCAGGCCUGGGGCAGGGAGGCCCACAUGUCCUGUGUGUUUUCUAUCUGCAGGCUCCGUACAGAUGGUGAGGUUGUUCCCACAGCAAAUCUGCCACCAAAGGGGAUAGGAAAUCUUGGCAGGAAGCUCUCUCAAGCACCAGGGGAGAGUCUCCCAGUGACCUUGGCCUCCACCCAACCCUUUCUCACUACUAAAUGAGGAAAGCAUCUUGAACAGAUUCUGCCAAGACUGAUGGGACUUGGGCCUUUCUCAGCGCUGGAAUGUUAGGUGAAAGCAAGCAGACACAUGUUAACAACUAGACACAAAACAGCUUCGAUACUAUUCAAUCACAACAAGGGAGCCCUCUUCCUGGAGGCUCCUAGCCACGUAGGAGAGAGACCAGCUUUCCUGGGUGUGUUCGCCCGAAGGCAUUCGCUUUCUCUGGCAAGAUCUUACGGUUAACCAAGAUUUCCAUGGAGUGAGCAGUCCUUGGCAGAAGAAAAACAGAAGCAAGACCACAAAAUAUUGAAAAGACUCCUGAGGCUGGCGUGGAGUUAAUAAUCACUUGUACAAACGGGCGGAACUGGUCUCAAUGGGGCCCAGAAGCAAUGGAUGUAGGGGUAUAUGAUGUGGCAUCGCGGGGUUCGCACAGGCAAGGAAAAAUAUCAGCGGUCUAUUCUUUUCCAUCUCCGAGGCCACCCUCAGGAUAGCUGCUUGAUGGUCUUUGCCUCCAGACCAGGCCUCCCCCAGCCACUGGAGAUGCCUCAGGAGGUCUGACCCACUUAGAGCUGGAGGUGUAGGGCUGGAGAGAUAGCUCAGAAGUUAAGAGCACUGACUGUUCUUCAUAAGGUCCUGAGUUCAAAUCCCAGCAACCACAUGGUGGCUCACAACCAUCCAUAACGAGAUCUGACACUCUCUUCUGGUGUGUCUGAAAACAGCUACAGUGUACUUACAUAUAAUAAAUAAAUAAGUCUUUUAAAAAAAUAAGGAAAAAAAAAGGUAGGUGGUAGACUUCCUAGUGCUCAAAGAGACCAGGGUUUGAGUCUCAGCCCUGGACUUGAGAUACAUAGACUGCCUGGGAACUCCCUAUGGAGCUGGGAACAGUGUUGAAAUCCUGAUCUCCCUUCCUCUAUCUCCUGAGAUCCUGUGUGUGUGCCACCAUAACUGGGCAAAACUGCUAAGGUGUCCUCAAACAGUCUGUCCCUGUCAGGACACUUCCAGAUGAAAAACCUCAUCUCAGGUUCACCUCAAGCUACAGGGUUCCAGAGGCAUCUGCAUCCUUUGAGGUCUGUCCUUGCCUCUGUGCGCUUCUCUUUCCCUUGUGCCUCCUGAACACCAUCACAGAUCCCCAGUUUGCUGUCAACCUCUCAGUCGACUCUGCUCUACUGAGAGGUUUUUCUGAUGUUCCUAGUUACAUUUCCAGAUUCCUGAAGACAGAUAAACAAUACCCUGCUGUGGAUUAGCGCCUGGCUUAGGCAGAACAGACCCACUCUCUUUCCCAGACGCCCUCCUGUCUCCCUUAUUCACUUUCAGUCAAUCAGUGUUUUACCACUCAUACAUUUAUUUAUCUUGCUGGGGGAGGGGAAUGUGCCCACCUGGAGCUUUCGAGUGGAGGCCAGAGGUUACCUCACAGGAACUGGUUCUCUCCGCCCACAUCAGGUUUGGUGGUGAGGGCCUUUACCUGCUGAACACUGAAUUUUAAAACAAAACUCAUCAGAAUAAUCUUAAAUAACCCUUCUCAUUAAAGCCACCGGUGUGGGUGGGUGAGUGAAUGUGAGUGUGUGUGGGGGUAUGGUUAUCUGUGUGUGUGUGUGUGUGUGUGUGUGUGUGUGUGUGUGUGUGUGUGUAAACAGACCUGACAAUCCUGUGGGAUGCGGGAAGAAAACACAAGAGCCAAUCAUAAUAGCUUCCUUUCCACUUGUGCAUUAAAUUAUGUCCAAGUAUUUUACAAAUACAAUACUUUGACUAGGCUGGGCAAUGGGACUAGUUCACGUCUCUAAUCCCAGCCCUUAGAAGGCAGAGGCAGGCAGAUCUGUAAAUUCUAAGCCAGCCUGGUCUACAAAGUAAGUUUCUAGGACAGUCAGAGCUACACAGAGAAACUCUGCCUCAAAGAGCUGAAAAAAAUUAUGUACUAUGACUGGGAUAGUGGUACUUGAUCCAAAAAUUUUGUACUGACCCACAGGUUUCUACCUAGAACCCUCCUAUGUGCCUCCUUUGGUUUGUCUUUAUGACAGGGUCUCAUGUGUGCUAGACGGGCCUCCAACUCCUGAUUGGCCUGUGUCUAUCCCUCACAUGCUGAAGUUUCAGGCAGGCCCACCAUGCCCUGUUUUCCCAAGAAGGUAUAGUGACUCCCUAGAGGGACUCUAGUGCCACCUUUCUCAGUAGAUUUUGCCUGAUUUCCAAAGUGUCUCAACCCCAGUCCAUUGUAUCUCUUAUUAUAACAAAUGCAUGCUUUGGGCCUUGUAAUUUAGAUUUGAACUUUUUUUAUUUUUAGACAAGUGGCUCUGUCAAGCCAAGGCUGGCCUCAAACUAGUGACCCUCCUGCUUCUGUCUUCCUGUGACUUGGGUUGCAGGAGAGUGCCAUGCCACCAUUCCUAGUUUAGACGUGUAUAUAAGUUGCCCUUUUUCAGCAUUUUUAGAGCUCCCUGAAAGCAGAGAUCAUAUCUCAUUAUCUCUGGAAGCCUAACAUUGCUCCACACAGCAAACAGACAUCAACUGAACGAACAUUUGAGGUUAUCGCACACAAGAACUGAGACUGAUAGUUGUGUUUGUUUUUGAGACCAGGACAGCCUUGACCCAUGGUCCUCUUGCCUCCACCUCCUACAUGCUGGGGUUAUAAUGGGUGUGCACCCCCAUUCUCAACUUUAAAAUUACUCUAAGGGGCUGGAGAGAUGGCUUGGUAGAUGAGAGCACUGGCUGCUUUUCUAGAGGACCUGAGUUCAAUACCCAGCAUCCACAUGGCAGCUCACAACUGUCUGUAACUCCAGUUCCAGGGGCAUCUGACACUCUCUUCCGACUUCCACUCACACCAGGCAUACACAUGGUGCACAGGCAUAAAAUAUAAGCAAAACACCCAUAUGAAUAAAAUUUAAGAAAUAUGUUUUAAAAAAUUGAUCUCAGUAUAACUUGAUUUUUUUUUUGAGACAGGAUCUCACUUAUAGAGACUAGCUGACCUCAAACAUGCCUCUGCCUCCUGAGAUGGGAUUAUGGGUGUCUGCUACCACGUUCUGCUAUAAUUUGCUGUUUGGAUAACAUAUUCUUCAUAGAGUGUAAUGGUUAUUAAUAAAGAAUCCUGGAAGGCUGAACUUUUUUCUUUUCAGAAAAGGAAAUAUCCUGGAUAACUUCUAGGUUCCAGUCCACAAUAAAUAAACAGAUAGAAAGAUGAUAUAGAUAGGCAGGCAGAAUAGGUAGAUCGAUAGAUGAGAGAUGAGAGAUAGAUGAUAGAUAGAUAGAUAGAUAGAUAGAUAGAUAGAUAGAUAGAUAGAUCCUGACAAUGUGAUUACCACAAGAUGGCAGAAUAACAUUGCAGUCCAACAUUCUUGCAGCCCUUUUCCAGACAUCAUAGGUAUCACUAGACAUUCCUCUGAGAAUAGAAAGUGCCCACAAAGAAAUUUUGACAGGAGCUGGUGUGACCUACAGAUUAUCUGCUCUGUGUCUUGCUGUUCUUUGCAAAAGGUGUUGGACAACAGGCAACACCUACCUCCUGAGCAUGUGAUGGGGGACUCAGACCCAGCAGGCUGGAUCUCUUGCAGAGCAGCAGAAUACAGCUGUCCUGGGAGAAUCACGUGCUGGAGUGAGACCAGCCUAGAGAACACAGAGAGAAGCUAUCUCAAAACAGAAGCAUAAAAGAACACAGUCCUGCCUCGGGGUCAGCACUGUGGGCAGCCAGUGCCUUACAUGGCUCCUGGUGAACCAGAGGAAGUUAGCUUUGGGGAUCAUUUCAUGAAUGAGCCCAUGUUUCUCCGCAACCUGCAGGUCCCACAGUGUUUCUUGGGGUGUCCAUGUCUGGGACUUAACAAGCAGAUAACAUCCCCAGAAACCACAAAGGUUAGCUUUAGGUUUUGAGUGUCUGGUCAAAGUACUUUGUUGUGAUUUGGGGUGUAGUCUCACUGCAUAGCCCAGUGUGACCUUGAACUUCAGCCACGGGGUUAGUGACGUAUGCCACCAUUGCCACAGGGAGUGCUUUUUAGAAGAAUAUGUCCUGUGAGGGGCUAAACUUGAUGCCUUUACAUGUGCUCUUAUCACUGAUAGAGCCUGCAACAAGGAGAUUCCCUGAUGGACCUUCGAGCCAGUCCUCUCCAGCUCUUCCCUUGAAGAGAAAUGAUCAGAGAGGCAAGUGGCCGCUUUCCUGGGGACAGUGGAUAAGCACUGUCCCAACUCCACACGAUAAUAUCACUCAGUAGAGACUCACUGGGCUCUUACUCUAAGAACCUACACAUUUAAUCUUUACAACAACGCUUUGAGUUAAGCAACUUAUCAUUUGUUUGAGACGGGGCCUGUCUUUGUAGACCAGGCUAGCCCCCAGAUCUCCAUGUAGCCCAGGCUAAGAAAAUUCCCAUUAUUUGCACACACACCCACACCCAAGGUUCUACAUAAAGCCUCCUCAGCUUAGAAGUUACCCUGAAGAAGGUGCCAAGAAGAGUGGUGGACUUCUACUCUCCAAUAGGUUGUCCAGGCACAAGGACUUGAGUUCAGUUCCCCAAGACCGACAUAUAAAACAAAGCAAGGCGUAGGAUCAUGUGCUUGUAAUUCCAGCACUAGGAAGGUGAGGCAGGAAGCUGGCUGAUUCCCCAGCCUUUCAGCCCAGUCUUCUUGGCAUACCCCAGGCCAAGCAGAGACUGUUGUAAAAAACAAGCUAGACAGCACUUGAGGAAGAAUGGCCCUUAAGGCUGUCCUCUGACCUCCACAAGUAUACACACACACACACACACACACACACACACACAC
This 5137-nucleotide long non-coding RNA is filed under the name Mus musculus (house mouse). Its description in RNAcentral is "long non-coding RNA chr17:12793917-12799054". Lineage: Eukaryota; Metazoa; Chordata; Mammalia; Rodentia; Muridae. The record is from RNAcentral.